GAUGAAGAACGUAGCGAAAUGCGAUAAGUAAUGUGAAUUGCAGAAUUCAGUGAAUCAUCGACUCUUUGAACGCACAUUGCGCCCGCCAGUAUUCUGGCGGGCAUGCCUGUCUGAGCGUCAUUUCAACCCUCAUGCCCCUAGGGCGUGGUGUUGGGGAUCGGCCAAAGCCCGCGAGGGACGGCCGGCCCCUAAAUCUAGUGGCGGACCCGUCGUGGCCUCCUCUGCGAAGUAGUGAUAUUCCGCAUCGGAGAGCGAUGAGCCCCUGCCGUUAAACCCCCAACUUUCCAAGGUUGACCUCAGAUCAGGUAGGAAUACCCGCUGAACUUAAGCAUAUCAAUAAGCGGAGGA
This 348-nucleotide unclassified non-coding RNA is filed under the name soil metagenome. RNAcentral describes it as "partial contains 5.8S ribosomal RNA, internal transcribed spacer 2, and large subunit ribosomal RNA". The stretch from base 1 to 120 matches the Rfam family "5.8S ribosomal RNA", at positions 35 to 154 of the family's 154-position model. The record is from RNAcentral.